RNAcentral lists this long non-coding RNA (1059 nucleotides) under Neogale vison (American mink). Its description in RNAcentral is "Neovison vison (American mink) lncRNA (ENSNVIG00000021503.1)". The record is from RNAcentral. Lineage: Eukaryota; Metazoa; Chordata; Mammalia; Carnivora; Mustelidae.
CUCAGCUAAGCUGUUCCUCACAGGCCCAGGCGGAGUCAGCAGGGAGGCAGCCGGCCAUGGGCGCCUGCUCAGAAGACCCCCACCUGUGUGAGGCCUCUGGGCUCCUGCGAUUCACCAGCCUCCUCCUCAGUGUCUGCAGCGCUGUGACCCAGAGUCCUGGAGCCCGUGGGUCUGCAGUGGAUGAUUCUGGAAACCCUGUUCCUCUGAAGGGGAUUCAAGGAGCUUCUGUGCUAUUUCCAGUGAUCAGAAAACCAGAAUUACCUCCAGAAGUCAAGCUGGAGAGUAUUACAUGGGGCAUUAUAAAUAAAAAAAUCUACACACCCAUACUCCAAGUUAGUCCCGGGGGAGAUGUUCCAGAAUGGGUCAACUGCCAGGACAAGUUCGAGAAGAGGGUCCAUGUGCUCAACACAAUGACUCUGAGGAUUGACAACCUGACCCUUGAGGACAGUGGGCGGUACCGGGCUCAAGAGUCCUAUUCGAGAGGAAGACAGUAUCACCAGGAUUUCCACCUGACGGUCUACGAGGCUGUGCCCCCUCCCCAGAUCCAGGCCAUGGCUGUGUCCCUCACACCAGGCUGGUGCAACGUCACAGUGGAGUGUAACACCACAGGAACCAGGGAGGACCUGACCGUGUCCUGGGAGAGUGAGAGCCUCCCCAGGGAGCUGGAGCAGAGACCGGCCCCAGGACCAGCCCCCAACCCCUGGACCCUGGCUGUGAACCUGCCCCUGAGCCGGCCCAGCCUCAACCUCACCUGUGUGGUGAGCAACCAGGCGGACAAGAAAGCUGCCUCCUGGAACGUUGGGGACGUCUGUGGCCGUGGACUCUGGCAGGAACAUCCAACCUGCGUCUGCUGUUCAGUGUUGUUCCCAGGCUGCUCAUCGGAGGGGUCUGGCCAACAACUCACUGUAGGAUUCAGGGCUCGGGGUCCUCUGCCCGAUUCUGGUCUCACAGACACACGUCACACCCACCCGCUUGCCUGCAUUCCCGAUGUGUCCCGCUCUCCUCGGCUGCCAGCCUCCGCUCAGGCCCCUCCCUCUGCCCUCAGCCCUUCCAAGUCAG